GAGUUUGAUCAUGGCUCAGAUUGAACGCUGGCGGCAGGCCUAACACAUGCAAGUCGAGCGGAAACGACANUAACAAUCCUUCGGNUGNGUUAAUGGGCGUCGAGCGGCGGACGGGUGAGUAAUGCCUAGGAAAUUGCCUUGAUGUGGGGGAUAACCAUUGGAAACGAUGGCUAAUACCGCAUAAUGCCUACGGGCCAAAGAGGGGGAUCUUCGGACCUCUCGCGUCAAGAUAUGCCUAGGUGGGAUUAGCUAGUUGGUGAGGUAAUGGCUCACCAAGGCGACGAUCCCUAGCUGGUCUGAGAGGAUGAUCAGCCACACUGGAACUGAGACACGGUCCAGACUCCUACGGGAGGCAGCAGUGGGGAAUAUUGCACAAUGGGCGAAAGCCUGAUGCAGCCAUGCCGCGUGUAUGAAGAAGGCCUUCGGGUUGUAAAGUACUUUCAGUUGUGAGGAAGGG
RNAcentral lists this ribosomal RNA (457 nucleotides) under Vibrio splendidus. RNAcentral's name for it is "bacterial SSU rRNA". It matches the Rfam family "Bacterial small subunit ribosomal RNA", at positions 9 to 452 of the family's 1533-position model. The record is from RNAcentral. Lineage: Bacteria; Pseudomonadati; Pseudomonadota; Gammaproteobacteria; Vibrionales; Vibrionaceae.